GAGGGUAUAGCUUAAGUGGUAGAGCACAUGCUUAGCAUGCAAAAGGUCCUGGGUUCAAUCCCCAGUACCUCCU
Molecule: transfer RNA, 73 nt
Filed under: Camelus bactrianus (Bactrian camel)
Lineage: Eukaryota; Metazoa; Chordata; Mammalia; Artiodactyla; Camelidae
Also listed under: 2 other names
Rfam family: tRNA
About the family: Transfer RNA (tRNA) molecules are approximately 80 nucleotides in length. Their secondary structure includes four short double-helical elements and three loops (D, anti-codon, and T loops). Further hydrogen bonds mediate the characteristic L-shaped molecular structure. tRNAs have two regions of fundamental functional importance: the anti-codon, which is responsible for specific mRNA codon recognition, and the 3' end, to which the tRNAs corresponding amino acid is attached (by aminoacyl-tRNA synthetases). tRNAs cope with the degeneracy of the genetic code in two manners: having more than one tRNA (with a specific anti-codon) for a particular amino acid; and 'wobble' base-pairing, i.e. permitting non-standard base-pairing at the 3rd anti-codon position.
Source: Rfam by way of RNAcentral